Molecule: ribosomal RNA, 274 nt
Filed under: uncultured bacterium
Lineage: Bacteria
Description: partial 16S ribosomal RNA
Rfam family: Bacterial small subunit ribosomal RNA
Source: RNAcentral
AUACGAAGGGGGCUAGCGUUGUUCGGAAUCACUGGGCGUAAAGCGCGCGUAGGUGGAUCAAUUAGUUGAGGGUGAAAUCCCGGGGCUCAGCCUCGGAACUGCCUUCAAUACUGUUGAUCUUGAGACCGAGAGAGGUGAGUGGAAUUCCUAGUGUAGAGGUGAAAUUCGUAGAUAUUAGGAAGAACACCAGUGGCGAAGGCGGCUCACUGGCUCGGUACUGACGCUGAGGUGCGAAAGCGUGGGGAGCAAACAGGAUUAGAAACCCCAGUAGUCC